This 460-nucleotide ribosomal RNA is filed under the name uncultured bacterium. RNAcentral's name for it is "partial 16S ribosomal RNA". It matches the Rfam family "Bacterial small subunit ribosomal RNA", at positions 338 to 795 of the family's 1533-position model. The record is from RNAcentral.
CCUACGGGAGGCAGCAGUGAGGAAUAUUGGUCAAUGGCCGGAAGGCUGAACCAGCCAUGCCGCGUGAAGGUCAGUGCCCUAUGGGCGUUAAACUUCUUUUGUGCGGGAGCAAUAAUGGUCACGUGUGGCCAGACGAGAGUACCGUACGAAUAAGCAUCGGCUAACUCCGUGCCAGCAGCCGCGGUAAUACGGGGGAUGCAAGCGUUAUCCGGAUUUAUUGGGGUUAAAGGGUGCGUAGGCUGGGAGGUAAGUCAGCGGUGAAAUGCCCCGGCGCAACGGGGUGAAGUGCCAUUGAUACUGGCUUGCUGGAAUGCGGAUGCGGUGGGAGGAAUGUGUGGUGUAGCGGUGAAAUGCAUAGAGAUCACACAGAACACCGAUUGCGAAGGCAUCUCACGAAUCCGCGAUUGACGCUGAUGCACGAAAGCGUGGGUAUCAAACAGGAUUAGAUACCCGAGUAGUC